UUCUUUCCGGUUCAAUUUCGACUAUGAUGUAGACUGGUAUUGUGGUUCUUUGCUGAGCGUCCUUUUUGCAGUUAAUUGAUACAUUAAGUCUUCAUCUCAGUGGUAUCUUCUUUUUGUAGUAACAAACAAAGAAUUUACGAAAGAUGUUUCGCAAUCAAUACGACAGCGACGUGACGGUGUGGAGUCCUCAAGGACGCCUACAUCAAGUCGAGUAUGCUAUGGAAGCUGUAAAAUUGGGGUCGGCAACGGUAGGACUAAAAAACAAAAUGUAUGCCGUUCUGAUUGCUCUAAAAAGGGCCACUUCGGAACUCUCAGCUUAUCAGAAGAAAAUUAUCCCUAUUGACAAACACAUGGGGAUCACAAUUUCUGGUUUAACUGCCGAUGCUAGAAUGCUAAGUCGCUACAUGCGCACCGAAUGUUUGAAUUACAAAUAUUCGCAUGACGAUGUUUUGCCUGUAAGCCGUUUAAUAGCAUCUCUUGGUAAUAAGAUGCAAACGUGUACCCAACGUUAUGACAGGCGGCCUUAUGGAGUGGGCCUGCUCGUGGCUGGAUACGAUGAUCAAGGUCCACAUAUAUAUCAGACAUGUCCAUCCGCUAAUUACUUUGACUGCAAGGCUAUGGCAAUUGGUGCUCGCUCUCAAAGCGCGAGAACUUAUCUGGAGAAACACGUAAACGAAUUUCCAUACUGUGAUCUCGAUGAGCUCAUCAAGCAUGGACUUAGAGCAUUACGUGAUACGCUGCCUAACGAAGUUGAUCUUUCUGUAAAGAAUGUGUCCAUUGGUGUGGUAGGAAAGGGUAAAGAGUUCAUCAUCUUGGACGAAACAGCAACAUUGGUAUACCUAUCGGAGAUAGAAGGGGAUGAGAAGCGCAAUAGAAAUGUGGAACCGAGUGUGGAACAAGACGAUAAACCCCCUCGAGAUCCACCUGAAAGGGAAGGCCCUCGUGACCCACAAGUCGACAUCGCUAUGGAGCAAAUGGAUACGGAGUGACAGGGACUAUAACUAAAACGAUUUUCAAGGAAUGCAAAGUUGCCUCCUGAAGGACAGACGAUCUUACCAAGGGACCACUUGCAGUGUACAGGAAUCCCAAUUCAUCUCCAUAAUUUCUCCAGGACUCGAACUUUUCUGGAGUCACGUAUUCAAUGACUUUCAAGUGUCUUUUGGUGGGCUGCAUGUACUGGCC
Molecule: RNA transcript, 1182 nt
Organism: Orussus abietinus
Lineage: Eukaryota; Metazoa; Arthropoda; Insecta; Hymenoptera; Orussidae
Gene: Prosalpha6
Gene name: proteasome subunit alpha type-1
Exons: 7
Source: RefSeq, a predicted model, not a curated record